AGUCUUCUUGCCCUCUGCUUUCUCCUAGCUUCUUCCCUCUGCAGCCCCUUCCCCUGGUCUUUACUGUCCACCCUGCUUUCCCUGAGUACAUGAAAGUGAGAAAAAAAAAUUGAAAACACUGACCUUCAAAUUAAAUUUAGCUAUAGUUAUUUGCAUAUAGCAUCCAUAGAUUUAGUUCAUUCAGAAUUGAUACGUUACCUUUUUUGUAAUUGCUGCAAGUUUUAUAACAGGACAGAUACUUAUAACAGAUAAGCCAACUGGUUAUCAGUGCACUUAUUGGUUAAACAAUUAAUCAUUUAACCUUUCAUCCCUAACACCUAUACCUUUACAGUUCUGUUGCGUGACUGAUCCAGUCUACUUGACAGUCCAUAACACAAAUAUACAGUUAAACCAUCAUCAUCACAUGGCAAUAUCGCAACUGUUUAUCUGUAUGUCUGCAUGCCUGUCGCCACUCUUACAUGUCAUAAUCACGCAGAAAAAACACCUCAGCACCUCUGCCCCCCUCCAAACUUCCCUGUUUCCCCCUCAGUCCUCUCACUCAUUGUCAUCUCCAUGCUCUCUGGCAGCCUCAUUCUUGAACAGCCUGUGCCAGUCUCUUCUCCUCCAUAUGUCCUCUGCCAUUUUUUCCUUGUUGUCUUCUGCUGUCUUUUUGUAGUAUAGCUGAAGCUCACUCCCAUUCUGAUGUGGUCCCUGACUAGGAGGGUCAUGUGUCUGUACAUGAGCAGGUCAAAGUGGGCUGUUGGGGUCCUUACUGCUUGGUCAUAUGGCUGAACAGUGCUGCCUCUCUGGUCAGGGUCUUGACCCCUGUCACCAUAAGGAGGAAUAUGAUUUCUCUCUGCCAUACCUCCCUGGUGUUUGAGCAGCUCCAGCUCCAAGGCCCAUGGGCUCAUGUUGGGUGGUGUGUCAACCCUCCAGCAUUGCAGCAGGUGCCCUGCUAAAAACCUCAUGAAGUGGGCUGUUUCGGAGUCUGCCUCAGCUGCCAGUUUGCAGAUCCGGCUCAUUUACUUGGCCCAGAGGAACAGCAGAAUGUCUGGCAUUCCUUAGCCCCUGGUCUGUUUAGUCUUGUACAGCAUGGCCCUCACAACCUUCUCCCAUUUGGAGCCUCAGAAGAAGAUGUAUAUGGCCUUCUGGAUUUUAUGGACAGUUUGCCUUGGUUGGAGGAGAGAAGACCAAUGUGGUAUACAGAAGCACCAAUAGCAACACUGUCCUUAUGAGUGCCGUGUGCCCCUGCAAAGACAGGUGGCACGUGUUCCAUAGUCCUGGUCUCUGUUGGUCUUGGCCACAGUCUUCUUCCAUGCUUUCUGGCCUGUUAGCUCUGGGUUGAAUUCCACUCCAAGGAUUUUUACUGCCUCGCUGGGGAUGAAGACCCCCAGGGUAGACAGUUCCCUGAGCUUGCCUAGUGCUAGGCAGGUGCUCUUGCCCACGUUGAGCUUAGUCCCUGCUACUGCUCUGUAUACCUAGGCAUGUUGCAGUACUCUUUCCACUGACCACUUAUCCCUGCGUAGGAUGCUGAGGUCCUUCAUAUAGGCUAGGACACUUUUCUCUGCCUCGCUGCCCCAGAAAUCUCCACUCCAUAGAUCUCAGGGUCUCACCUGAGAUGUUGGGCCAGUGGUUCCAUCACAUAGAUGUACAGGAUCAGGGAGAGUGAUCAUCCCUGCUGGAUGCCCAACUCCACCGCUGUCAGAGUGGUCAGGAACCCAUUCACCAGUACCCUGCUGUUCAUGUUGGUGUACAGUGUUUCAAAAAAAUGUUCCAGAGUAAGGUGGACAGACACUUGAGUGGAAUGGUUUAGUCUGGGAUGAUCCUGCCUUGAACAGGGGGCUGGACUAGAUGACCAACCUCAUGGGGUCCCUUCCAGUUGUACUCUCCUAUGAUCCUAAGAGCAUCUUAGGCCCAGAGCAGUUACAAACACAUAAGUUCAUGAAUGACAUGAUUUUAGGCCCUGCAGCUUCAUUGAAACCUUAAGUCCUCUCAAGAUUGAGACUAGAUAUUACCAGUGAAAGAAUUUUAAAAUUCAAGUGAAGUUUUUGCUGCUUGCAGAGUUUGCCUAUUUUUUGGCUUUGAGGUCAAUAAGCUCAGUUUAAAUGUUGUUUAUAGUCCACUUUGCUACACUGUGAUCUCCACGCUGCAAAUUUUGCAGGAGGAUGUGAGAUUAUUUCCAUUUAUAUGAAUAUAUUCCAUUUGAAUAUAUGAAAUACAAAAAAUAUGGAAAAACUUGGAGGUAUAUUUGUAGAUCUAAGGAUUUUUCCCCCCUUUUUCUAAGCAGAAGGAACUACCUGCCAGUCAAAGCUGAGUUAAGCAUGUCCUUUUCAAACUAUCCAGUUGCAAGCCUUUCCCUUUUCUGCUUUCCUUCCUAGAGCUGAAUUGAUUGAUUCUGUUUCUGAUCUGCAGUAGCUGGCACAUCACAUAGAAACCUGUACAAGCAUGAGGUACUGGAUCUGAGCCUGGUGGACUGGAUUUCGCCUUCAAACCUGCUGGUCUAAUCACCACUUCUGAUGGUUCGAGUUCCUCCAUACACGCCUUGUGAUUUGCAGACUUCUACCACCCUUUGGAGGCAGCUAGCCCUCAUUUGUGUCACCACCCACUCCUUCCCAUCUGUUGCUUUAGCUGACACUGCGGUGAGACUGUCACUACCCACUUGCUGUAUAGGGGACACUCGCAGAAGAUGGGCCAUUAUAUGAGCGCUUCAUUAGCCACCAACAUGCAGUGAAUGGCCUGAAGGGUGCGUCUCCCAGAGAUUGAGAUGCAUCAAUUUUUGGUGCUUCUGGAAGUGAGCACUGGAAAUUCACCUUUCUUCAGUGAAGAAACGCUGCUUCCUUGAUUUGCAUUUUCUACAGAAGCAUGUGAAAUUUCAAGACUGUCAGGGAAUCAGUUUUUUACCCUGCACAAUUUGAGCUAACACAGAUGAUAACAACAUUCAAAUAGUAACUGGGUGGCCAUAUAAAAAAUUACAUGGUCUGGUGAAGAUUGUGGUUUAAAACUGCUUUUGAAAGAAAAUAUGGUUUUUUGGUUAAACAUUUUUUUUUAUGCAUUAA
Long non-coding RNA from Alligator mississippiensis (American alligator), 3035 nucleotides. RefSeq lists it as uncharacterized. The record is from RefSeq and is a predicted model, not a curated record. The transcript is spliced from 3 exons. NCBI's taxonomy places the organism in Eukaryota, Metazoa, Chordata, Crocodylia, Alligatoridae.